Molecule: ribosomal RNA, 670 nt
Filed under: uncultured bacterium
Lineage: Bacteria
Description: bacterial SSU rRNA
Rfam family: Bacterial small subunit ribosomal RNA
Source: RNAcentral
UGCUUGAUCCUGGCGGCGGAUGAACGCUAGCGGGAGGCCUAAUACAUGCAAGUCGAGGGGCAGCAUUUCACUUCGGUGGAGAUGGCGACCGGCGCACGGCGUGAGUAACGCUGUACACAACCUACCUUUAAGAGGGGGAUAGGCUUGGGAAACUGAGAUUAAUACCCCAUGUUAUUGAUUUUUUUAGAUUGAAGUCAAUCAAAACUCCGGUGCUUAGAGAUGGGUGUGCGUCCUAUUAGGUAGUUGGUGAGGUAGAGGCUCACCAAGCCGACGAUAGGUAGGGGGCGUGAGAGCGCGACCCCCCACACGGGUACUGAGACACGGACCCGACUCCUACGGGAGGCAGCAGUAAGGAAUAUUGGACAAUGGGCGCGAGCCUGAUCCAGCCAUCCCGCGUGCAGGAUGACAGCCCUAUGGGUUGUAAACUGCUUUUGUAGGGACUAAUAGUCAUGAUUAUCAUGGUGUGACGGUACCUGAAGAAUAGCACCGGCUAACUCCGUGCCAGCAGCCGCGGUAAUACGGAGGGGCAAGCGUUAUCCGAAUACUGGGUUAAGGGUGCGUAGGCGGAGUCGCAGUAGAGUGAAUACCUGGCUAACCAGGAUUCUUUGAUCUGCGCUCUUAAUAGUAGGUGCGAAUUACUUACGGGAAUCUAGUUGUAUACCCAUGCAGG